CAACUGGUGUGCCAAGGCAGCACUGUGCUAGCUGUGCUUGCCAGAGCCGGCCUGUGCAUGGUUCCCAUUCCCAAUGGGGCUUUGACCCAGGCAGCACUUUGACAAGGCAUCAUUUUGUUACCUCUGUACACGUUAACUCAAAGACUGCUCUCUAGCUAGGCAAGUUACAUGCAGAGAGGGCCCGUCCAUUGGCCCCAGUGGAGCUAUGGCUCCUAGCGGCACUUUUAGAAGGGGG
Non-coding RNA from Pelobates cultripes (western spadefoot toad), 235 nucleotides. NCBI's taxonomy places the organism in Eukaryota, Metazoa, Chordata, Amphibia, Anura, Pelobatidae. The record is from the annotation of a GenBank genome assembly.